GAGGGCGGGACUAGCGGGGGCAGGCGCUCCCAUUUGCUGCUCCGACGCCCCCGACCGACGAAUCGGCUUCUUCCGUCCGUGCAGCCGCGGAGCGAUAGGCGAGCCCGGUUUAUAUGCAAAUGACAUGGAAAUGUCACAAACACGUGGACACGCGGAUCGGUUUCAUUUCAGCAGCUGGGCAAAAAAAAAAAAAAAAGAAGUCAACCCAGGGCUAGUUUUGGUCAUUCUACAGGCAUUCUUCCUCAUUAUAUCAUCCGGACCAUGAUGCCUGACUUGUGGCAUGUCAGUGAACCUGCGCAGCAUGGUAAAGGCGCAGUCAGCACAUUUCCAGGAACAACUGUGGUAGUUCAUGUUAAGAGUUUGCUCAAGGACACUUCAGCAGUCUAUAUUUGAACAGGGGAUGGUCUGGCGAUACAUUUACCAGUGGUGGAAAAGCCGUGACUCACAGGACCUCGGUUUGACUGCCUGAGAGGGUGGGAUUAGGGAGCACUCUGUCAGAGGCCAGACGAGGAUCCUGAGCUUGGAGCCAGUGAGUCACGAACCCUCUCACAGCAAACGUGAUCACGUGCGACUGGGAGACACCCACUCAAAAAGCAUAACCAGCCUCCUCUCCUACUCUCCCUCGAUUGACUAGUGAGAACAAACAGAAUGUGAAAACAUCACAUUUCUUUUCCUUCUAUCUGCAGCGUGAAAAGGUCACAUGUGGAAGAAAAAAAAAAAAAGGGCUACUGUGAGAUGUUUACAGAGCCAAAGACGCUGCCCGGACUGUUUUUAACAACUGGGUGCAAAUCUGUCUGACAUGAAAUGCAGAAGGACUUCUUGCUCUGUCUUCUGUGCUUUCUAUAACGAGACUGUACCAUGGUGAUUCAAUCCUAAGAGCAUUUUGUGGUCAGGUGAUCAUAGAGGAGCGCAUGUGGCUACUUUUUGUUUUAUGUGCUGCUGUCAAAGUGAGGAGGAGGCAGGACAAGGGCACCAGCAGCCCCGGUGUCCUAACGGUUUACUCUUUGCUGCUGUGCCUUUAAUCACACCCCGCUGUGAAGAAUGCACACCGCAGACACCAGAGCACCCAUAAAGCCGGUCGAGGUGACACGCCUGCUGGCACGGCCCAGAUCCUCCGGUGACCCCAGACUGUGUGACGACCGAGAGCUUCCUACAGAUUCCCAGCAAACUCUCAUUUCCCUUUUUUGUCUUCAAGGCUUCCAAGUCACUGUGGAGUACAUCACAUCUACUUCAAAGCACAGGAAACAGACAUCUACAUUUUGCUUUGGUUGAAAACACAUACAGGCAGAACACUUUGAACUGUACAGACACAGUAUGAAAUGUGGAGAAAGCAGCGUCUGUAUUUAUAUAAGUAACAGAUUAGCACAGCUACUCAAAUGUCUUUUGUGAUAGUGUUUUUCAUUGGUAACCCGCACGUUGUUCUGAAUGUUUAGUAGACCUUCUGUGUGAUCUCCAGGAACGUUUAUGUAUUAACAAUAAUCCAUCUCCAUUCAGUUGUGCCGCAAUUUGUCCUCCACAUAAAAAAAACAACAGCGGCAAUUUGCAAUCUCCUCACAAAGGGGAACUCUUUUUAUCUGCGCAUUCUCCUGUCAGGAUCCGAGAUGAGUCACACAACACAAACUGGCACUGUGAUUUUCAAUUUGUCAGAGAGGCUGGCUGAUUCUGUAUCCCACAGAGACUGGAUGUGUCUCUCAUUCAUAAAAAAAUAAAAGACAAAUCAGA
This is a long non-coding RNA of Dicentrarchus labrax (European seabass), 1722 nucleotides long. RefSeq lists it as uncharacterized. NCBI's taxonomy places the organism in Eukaryota, Metazoa, Chordata, Actinopteri, Moronidae. The record is from RefSeq and is a predicted model, not a curated record. The transcript has 3 exons.